RNAcentral lists this ribosomal RNA (253 nucleotides) under uncultured bacterium. Its description in RNAcentral is "partial 16S ribosomal RNA". It matches the Rfam family "Bacterial small subunit ribosomal RNA", at positions 524 to 776 of the family's 1533-position model. The record is from RNAcentral.
UACGUAGGUGGCAAGCGUUAUCCGGAUUUACUGGGUGUAAAGGGAGCGUAGACGGUAUGGCAAGUCUGAAGUGAAAGCCCAGGGCUUAACCCUGGGUCUGCUUUGGAAACUGUUAGACUAGAGUGCUGGAGAGGUAAGUGGAAUUCCUAGUGUAGCGGUGAAAUGCGUAGAUAUAUGGAGGAACACCGGUGGCGAAAGCGGCUCUCUGGCCUGUAACUGACACUGAGGCUCGAAAGCGUGGGGAGCAAACAGG